Salvelinus fontinalis (brook trout) is the source of this 4289-nucleotide long non-coding RNA. RefSeq lists it as uncharacterized. The transcript is spliced from 3 exons. The record is from RefSeq and is a predicted model, not a curated record. NCBI's taxonomy places the organism in Eukaryota, Metazoa, Chordata, Actinopteri, Salmoniformes, Salmonidae.
GGCAAGUUCUGGCCAAGCGCUCACCAUUCUGCAGAAUAAGGAUCAGAACUUUACAGAGGUAAACUGUGUGUUGUUUUUACUAUUACAGCAGUUCAUCGUGGCCCUGUCGUUCGCCUCCUUCACCAAAGCUCUGUCAGGGACCUACAUGAAGAGUGCCAUCACUCAGAGAGACACUUUGACCUGUCCAGCUCUCUCAUCGGACUCAUAGAGGACAGCUUUGAGAUGGGUAACCUGCUGUUCCUGGCUGUGGUCAGCCAUUUUGGGGCGAAGCUGCACCGGCCCAAGCUCAUUGAUGGGGUUAGGAUUUGGGCUAAAUCAACUGAUGCUGAUGUAAUUGUGUUUUCUGAAACCUGGCUCAGAAAGUCUGUUUUUGAUAAGGAUAUUUGUAUAAGUGGUUACAGUGUUUAUCGCACUGAUCGAGUUAAGAAAGGUGGGGGUGUGGCUAUAUAUGUAAAAACAAAUUUUCCUGUAAGUGUGGCAAAGUCUGAAACUAUUUGUAAACAGUUGGAAUUUCUUGCUUUGAAUUUUGAGGUUUCAAAGGGUCUUUCUAUAACUGUGAUUGGCUGUUAUAGAGCUCCUUCUGCUCUCGGUGAUGCAUUUUCUUCUUUGACGCACCUUAUGUCUAAACUUCUUUACAUUGAAAUGAUCUUGAUUGGUGAUCUCAACUGGUGUUGGUUAAAGCCGGUGUCUGAUGAUUUAAAAAUGUUUUGUAAUUCUAUGAAUCUUACCCAGUUGAUUAACUCACCCACUCGCCCAAAUCUUAAAUGCCCAGAUAAAUCUACCCUGAUUAUUUUAUAUUAACAAAUGUUCCAAAUAAAUAUCCUGCGGUUGGUGUUUUUUGUAAUGAUUUAAGUGACCAUUGUUCUGUUGUUGCUGUUAGAAAUACUAAGGUUCCUAAGACAAACCCACGUUUUAUUCAUAAGAGAAAUGUGAAGUGUUUUAAUGAGCAGGCUUUCGUUCAUGAUUUGUUUUAUUUUGACUGGAGCUAGAUUGAGUUUAUCCCUGAUGUGGAAACUGCCUGGAUAUUCUUUCAUUAUGUUUUUUUCCAAAUAGUCAACAAACAUGCCCCAUUCCGCAGGUUCAGGGUUAAAGGGCGGGAUAAUCCAUGGUUUUCUUCUGAGCUGUCUUGUAUUAUUCACGAUCGUAAUCUAGCCUGGGCUAAAGCAAGGAAAUAAUGUUGUGAUGCUGAUUGGCUUAUUUUUAGGCAGUUACAAAACGAGUGUUCUUUUCUUCUCAGGAAGGCCAAGUCUGAAUAUUUUAUGUCUUUUACCACUGAUAACCUGAAUGACCCUAGAAAGUUUUGGAAGGCUAUUAAGUCUAUGUCUGGUAACAGUAAUGUUAAUGAAUUACCGUCAUGUGUUUUGAAGGACUCUGUUGCUGUAUAUGACAAAACUGAAAUGCUGAAUUGUUUCAAUGAGCACUUUGUAUCAUCUGGUAGGCUGUUUAAUUCAGUGUCCUCUGUCUCUGUACAACCCUGUGUGGAUGAACCAGCGUCUUCUGUCUCUGUACAACCCUGUGUGGAUGAACCAGUGUCCUCUGUGUGUGGAUGAACCAGUGAGAGCUGGUCAAACGUUUAGCUUUUUGCCAUUCUCAGUGCAGGUGGUACAUAAAGCCCUGAAAUCCUUAGAUCAGAGAAAGCCUGCAGGUCCUGAUCUUUUGGAUCCCUACUUUUUAAAUCUGGCAGCUGAUUUCAUAGCUGAACCACUUACAUAUCUGUUUAUCUAACCCUGGAAUGUAAUGAAAUUCCGAAAAUCUGGAAAUCAUCAUUUGUCCUACCACUUUUAAAAGGGGGAGAUCCAACUCUUUUAAAUAAUUAUAGGCCAAUCUCAAAGCUGUCACCCCCGGUGAAAAUACUUGAAACCCUUGUGAGUGAACAGCUAAGAGUUUUUAUUUACUAACUCUAUUUUAUCAAUGUAUUUAUCGGGCUUCAGGAAGAAGCAUAGCCAAUUACAGCAGCCAUGAAGGUUUUCAAUGAUAUCACUGAAGCCCUUGACAAAAAACACCACUGUGUCUCACUAAGGCUUUUGAUACAGUUGAUCAUGCUAUACUAAGGCAGAGAUUGUCGAGUGUAGGUCUUUCAGAGCAUGGUUUGCUAACUGUCUGAUAGAACUCAGUGCACUCAAUUUGAUGGGCUGUUAAAUUAUCUGUAUUUAAUGGUGUGCCCCAAGGCUCUGUACUUGGUCCUCUCUUAUUCACUAUUUAUAUAAAUGAUUUAGACAAAAAUGUCCAAAAUGCGCAACUUCAUUUUUAUGCUGAUGAUACUGUUAUUUACUGUUGUGCCUAGUCUCUUACAAAAGCUUUCCAGAACUUGCAACCUGCUUUUUAUACUGUUCAACAUACCUUGUGUCAAUUGAAGCUUAUCCUCAAUACUGACAAAACUAAACUAAUGGUGUUUUAUAAAGCAAGAAAUAGACCUCUGAACCUUUCACCUAUUACUACCUGUCAGGGCAAGGAGAUUGAGGUUGUAACCUCAUAUAAAUAUCUUGGAAUUUUAAUUGAUGACGGACUCUCUUUUAAAUUGCAUAUUCAACAAAUUACCAUAUUAUUUUUGCUGAAAUUGGGAUUUUAUUUUAGGAAUAAGGCCUGUUUUUCUUUUGAAGCCAGAAGGAGGCUAGUAUCAGCUACAUUUAUGCCUUUACUAGACUAUGGGGAUAUUUUAUAUAUGAAUGCUUCCGCUCAGUGUUUGAGACCAAUUGACACCCUUUACCAUGGCACUUUGAGAUUUAUUUAAAACUGCAAAACCCUUACGCACCACUGCACUUUGUAUACCAGGGUUGGUUGGCCUUCUCUAGUCAGUCGUAGGCUCAGUCACUGGUAUACUUUUAUUUAUAAAGCCAUUUUGGGUUUACUACCUUUUUUAUUUGGGCAUUUUUAUUGUUCAGAAAUGUGAUGGGUACUCUCUUCGUUCGCUGGACUUUAUCCUGCUAACUGUUCCAAAUGUCCGAACUGAAUUUGGUAAAAGGGCUUUUAUGUACUCUGCGCCAUCGUCUUGGAACUUCUUACAAAAUACUUUUAAACUGGAAGAACUUGUCCCGAUUUGGUAUUUUUAAAUCACUGAUGAAUGAUCUUGAGACUGAUUCCCUGACCUGUCAAUGUUUUUAUUUAGCUGUUUUUCAUUUUUGUUUUCCUCUUGUGAAUUCUAUGGUUUUUACUAGAUUACUUGUGGUUUUUCAUGUUGUUUGUCUGUAAUUUUUGUAAUGACUUGGUGCUGCCUAUCUUGGCCAGGACCCUCUUGAAAAAGAGAUUUUAAAUCUCAAUGAGCCCUUCCUGGUUAAAUAAAGGUUAAAUAAAACAUUAAAAAAAUUGCUAUGGGCUGUUUCCUCAUGGCUGUAGGAUCCUUCCUCACAGGCCUUCCACACUUCUUCAUGGGACGGUAAAUCGAAUGAAAUACUGGUUAAACUUGUACUUGUAGAGAUACUCCAAUGCGGAGGAUAGUUUCACUUUAGAAAUAAAGAAAUGUAUCCAGUUGUUGAUUAAUCUCAGUUAAUUUAGAACUAAAGUCUUGCGUAAUUGGUCAGCUGCUUGAUUAUGUUUUGGGGCCAUACAUGUGAAGAGAAGGGAUUAAGAGAUGCUAUAACUGACGUGGUAAGGUUGGACCCAGGUGCAGAGAAGAGACCAGAAGAUGAAGCAGUGGUUCCAACCAGUGUCUCCACCCCUCCAGGGCCCACUAAACUGCCAAGAGCUCCCGGUUGCCUACAUUGUAGUUGCCUUCUGCUGGCGAGAACCGCUUGGAGAGAAAGUCACAUGGGUGCAGUUUCUUGUCCUCGUUCCGCUGUGAAAGGACCACCCGAGCUCCGGUGUCUGAGGCGUCCACCUCUACCACAAAGGGACGAGUAGGAUCAGGAUGAACGAGGAUAGGUCCGGAGGUGAAACGUCCCUUGAGCUCUAUGAAUGCCCUGUCAGCCUCGGGAUUCCAGCAAAAACCUGCUUGAGUGAGGUGGGACAGGGCUGUAUGUGUUGUCGUCGAUGUAAACAAAGAUGAACCGGUUCAACAUAUCCCAAAGAGUGUCAUUGAUCAAUGCUUGGAAGACUGCCGGUGAGUUCGAUAUUCCGAAGGUCAUGACUAAAUACUCAGUUACCACUAGGGGUGUUAAAGGCAGUUUUCCACUCAUCUCCCUCCAUGAUUCUCAACAGAUUUUAAGCAUUGCGGAGGUCCAGUUUGGUGAACAUUUGGGCUCCUACGGCCAACUUGAAGGCGGCGGACAUCGGGUAGGGAGUAACGAUUCUUGAUCGUAAUCCUUUUCAGCCCUCUAUAAUCGAUGCAAGGACUGAAGUUUGGGUCAGAGACA